This 72-nucleotide transfer RNA is filed under the name Camelus dromedarius (Arabian camel). It matches the Rfam family "tRNA". Rfam says of the family: Transfer RNA (tRNA) molecules are approximately 80 nucleotides in length. Their secondary structure includes four short double-helical elements and three loops (D, anti-codon, and T loops). RNAcentral also lists the same sequence under 1 other name. The record is from Rfam by way of RNAcentral. Lineage: Eukaryota; Metazoa; Chordata; Mammalia; Artiodactyla; Camelidae.
GAGGGUGUAGCUCGGUGGUAGAGUGUGUGCUUAGCAUGCCCAAGGUCCUGGGUUCAAUCCCCAGUACCUCCA